Molecule: transfer RNA, 73 nt
Filed under: Paramuricea clavata
Lineage: Eukaryota; Metazoa; Cnidaria; Anthozoa; Malacalcyonacea; Plexauridae
Rfam family: tRNA
About the family: Transfer RNA (tRNA) molecules are approximately 80 nucleotides in length.
Source: Rfam by way of RNAcentral
GACUGCUUAGCUCAGUUGGCAGAGCAUUGGACUAGUAUCCCAAAGGUCGCGGGUUCGAUUCCCACCGUGGCCA